AUUGAACGCUGGCGGCAGGCCUAACACAUGCAAGUCGAGCGGUAGCACAGGAGAGCUUGCUCUCCGGGUGACGAGCGGCGGACGGGUGAGUAAUGUCUGGGAAACUGCCUGAUGGAGGGGGAUAACUACUGGAAACGGUAGCUAAUACCGCAUAAUGUCGCAAGACCAAAGAGGGGGACCUUCGGGCCUCUUGCCAUCUGAUGUGCCCAGAUGGGAUUAGCUAGUAGGUGGAGUAACGGCUCACCUAGGCGACGAUCCCUAGCUGGUCUGAGAGGAUGACCAGCCACACUGGAACUGAGACACGGUCCAGACUCCUACGGGAGGCAGCAGUGGGGAAUAUUGCACAAUGGGCGCAAGCCUGAUGCAGCCAUGCCGCGUGUAUGAAGAAGGCCUUCGGGUUGUAAAGUACUUUCAGCGGGGAGGAAGGUGCUGAGGUUAAUAACCUCAGCAAUUGACGUUACCCGCAGAAGAAGCACCGGCUAACUCCGUGCCAGCCGCCGCCGUAA
RNAcentral lists this ribosomal RNA (506 nucleotides) under uncultured bacterium. RNAcentral's name for it is "partial 16S ribosomal RNA". It matches the Rfam family "Bacterial small subunit ribosomal RNA", at positions 30 to 523 of the family's 1533-position model. The record is from RNAcentral.